The submitters of this non-coding RNA (117 nucleotides) gave its source as unclassified sequences. The record is from Rfam.
AAUUAUCAUCAGGAGUGAUCUUUAAGUAAAGAUCCACCAACCGAGCCUAAAAGCUACGGUGGUUAGUUCCAUUAAACGGAGGAUGUGCCUUGAAAAAGGAAAAAGUGGAACCGCCUG